CCCAUUCGAUGGGGUCUCCUAUGGCGGUAGGGGUGCCGCUGCAAUUAUAUCCCAUGCAGAUGAAGUAGCGAAAUGACUUAAUUGUAAAAGUUCCAUUAUAAAAUUUAUCAUGAAUGUGUUAGAUUAGAUCUAAAGGAAUAUUCAUGAUUUAUUUUGAUUGAGUUAUUUUCUGUGUAAUUAGCAAUAGGAUUGCUAUUUGUGAAAUAUGCUGAUCUAUUUGUGAAAUGAAUCAACAUAUUUAGUGAACAGAAAAUAAAAUCUUUCAAAUUUGAAAAUUAUUUCGAAAUGCCAAAUUCUGACCCAUCAGCCCAAAUAUUUAAUUAAAAGAAUUAAGUGUUGUCAAGUUUGUCUAGAAUUGUGAAUUAAGACCUAAGACAAUUGCAUAAACUUAUGGGUCAAUGGAUUAGAUGGAUUAGGUCCAUAAUUGGGUUAGACCUAAGGUUAGCUUAAAGAAAUGGACUAAAUUAGAGUAAUUGGUCAAAUCUAAUCAAAAGUUGAAUUAGAUUAGGUCAAGGACACUCUAGACUCAACUCCAAUAGUUGUAGUUGAAUGGGUCCAUGUCUUUAACUAGACCAAGAUGGACUUAAUUCAUGGCUACGCGGUG
Molecule: long non-coding RNA, 604 nt
Filed under: Elaeis guineensis (African oil palm)
Lineage: Eukaryota; Viridiplantae; Streptophyta; Magnoliopsida; Arecales; Arecaceae
Description: long non-coding RNA (EGUI_LNC080585)
Source: RNAcentral